CAAUAGCGUAUAUUAAAUUUGUUGCAGUUAAAAAGCUCGUAGUUGGAUCUCAGGUUUGGUAUGUCGGUUUGGUCUUUGUAUCAUAACUGUAUUAUAUCAGCCUUUUUUAGUUGUUAGCCGCUGUACGGUGGUCUUCAUUGAUCGCUGUAUGGUGCUCGACACGUUUACCUUGAAGAAAUCAGAUUGAUCAAAGCAGGCUUCGGCUUGAAUGCUUAUGCAAGGAAUAAUAGAAUAGGACCUUGGUGCUAUUUUGUUGAUUUUCAGUACUAAGGUAAUGAAUAAUAGAGACAGUCGGGGGUAUUUGUAUGGUGACGUUAGAGGUGAAAUUCUGAGAUCGUUGCCAGACAAACUACUGCGAAAGCAUUUACCCAGUAUGUCUUCAUUAAUCAAGAACGAAAGUCAGAGGUU
This 408-nucleotide ribosomal RNA is filed under the name Platyhelminthes sp. MM00090. Its description in RNAcentral is "SSU rRNA". It matches the Rfam family "Eukaryotic small subunit ribosomal RNA", at positions 592 to 998 of the family's 1831-position model. RNAcentral also lists the same sequence under 2 other names. Lineage: Eukaryota; Metazoa; Platyhelminthes. The record is from RNAcentral.